GGGGUGCAGCUCAGUGGUAGAGUGCUUGCCUAUCACACAUGAGGACCUGGGUUCCAUCCACAACACCACA
Molecule: transfer RNA, 70 nt
Filed under: Marmota monax (woodchuck)
Lineage: Eukaryota; Metazoa; Chordata; Mammalia; Rodentia; Sciuridae
Description: tRNA.Asp
Source: RNAcentral